GUGGUCCACGGGGGGCAGCAGUAGGGAAUUUUCGUCAAUGGGCGCAAGCCUGAACGAGCAAUGCCGCGUGAACGAGGAAGGUCUUCGGAUCGUAAAGUUCUGUUGAAGGGGAAAAAGAGCGGAGAGAGGAAAUGGUCUCCGAUUGAUAUUACCCUUCGAGGAGGUCACGGCUAACUACGUGCCAGCAGCCGCGGUAAUACGUAGGUGGCGAGCGUUGUCCGGAUUUAUUGGGCGUAAAGCGAGUGCAGGCGGUUCAAUAAGU
RNAcentral lists this ribosomal RNA (262 nucleotides) under uncultured bacterium. RNAcentral describes it as "partial 16S ribosomal RNA". It matches the Rfam family "Bacterial small subunit ribosomal RNA", at positions 333 to 588 of the family's 1533-position model. The record is from RNAcentral.